UGUGAGGGACGGUGUCUGUGAUGGGGGAUUUACUACGCUGAGUCUGAUAUUCAUGAUAUUACGAAAUACAUACAUGCAGGAAUCGAGUUACAGCCUUAGAUCACAUAUCAAAAUAAUUACCGGUAGUACUUCCUGGUGGUGUUAGGAAUACACGUGUGCAUUCUUACAGUGAACCACCAAUAAUAAACAGACAUGAGAAAUGAGCUGAAUCAUUAUAAGAGAAAAUGGAACAAAAAUCGAACUUUUAUUCACCGUCCUUUGGGUUGCAGCAAAAGUGAUACAUAUGAACGGUUUGUUUUGUGAUACAGAGUAUGCGGGAUAUUGAGGACGUAUAUUACAAACCUUGGACUUCUCAGUACAUUUACAAAGGAGUCAAUCAAUCCAUGAUAUUACGCAGCAUUAGUUACUGAAAAGAAGUUUGGAACACCCUUGUGACGAAUCUAAAUAUUUUUCUCAACAUUGAAGCAACAAUAGUCUUGGAUAACUUGUUUUAGGGAAAGAAAACUGGCCUGAGUUUGUUUUUUGUCUGGAAAUCUGGAUCUUUUCCUUAGGAAGAAAUUCCACUAGUCUAGAAGUUUUGGUAGAAAAGCUUUCCGAUUUGGAUUUCUUGCAAUCAGGGACAUAAGAGUGCAUCAGUGAUUUCUCUCUAUUGGAUACGCACGAAGCUUCUAGAUGCAGCGUUUUCUGUGAUUGGAAAAAUAUAUGACAAGAAAGAUGCUCCACUACAUACCAAAGUUUUGAAUGCUGAAGUAACUGUGCAAGGAUACCAUAGGAUCUGUCCCUGCGUGUUUAGUCUAAUAUACCACUAUUCAAUUCAUCCACACGUUCAAAAUGAAGGCGAGGGCAAUACCUGUGCACUCGAAACCAUCUCAUCAAACCUUAUUCACAUCAAUUUCAACGUAGCUAUUUAUGUAAAAACUAUAUGUAUAUAGAACUGUAUUUAGCCUUCCGGUGCCUUCGGAUAUUGGUCUUGUCUCACAAGAGCUGCGUAUAUCUUUUUAGAGCAAAAUACAUGGAGUAUUUUAUUUUUCUCACAAAAAACUGUAAGGAACCUACUAAAGGAAUGUACAUAGCCUUAGCCUCCAAGAAGAAAAGUUUUACUCUGGAGCUAGUAUUCUUUUCUUAGUAGAACUGAAUAAAGCCCUCUAGAGAAAUAUUACUCCACAGUUUUUCAAAUGAUAAUUGUACUAAGCCGUCUAGAGGAAUAUAACAGCAUAGUUCACAUUUUGUAUUACAAGAACUCUACGUAGAAUUCAAAGGAAUAUUACUCAUUUGUUCAUAUUUCGUCUAAUUAGGAAUGUACAAAGUCUCCUAGUGGUGUCGUAUUAGAAAUGUAUGUAAAUUUCGAGAGGAACACACCUUCGU
Saccostrea cuccullata (small rock oyster) is the source of this 1365-nucleotide long non-coding RNA. RefSeq lists it as uncharacterized. The transcript has 3 exons. Lineage: Eukaryota; Metazoa; Mollusca; Bivalvia; Ostreida; Ostreidae. The record is from RefSeq and is a predicted model, not a curated record.